GAGCUGAAUUCCAGAUUCCUUCGGGGUGAUUUGUUGGACGCUAGCGGCGGAUGGGUGAGUAACACGUGGGCAAUCUGCCCUAAAGACUGGGAUACCACUUGGAAACAGGUGCUAAUACCGGAUAACAACAUGAAUCGCAUGAUUCAAGUUUGAAAGGCGGCGCAAGCUGUCACUUUAGGAUGAGCCCGCGGCGCAUUAGCUAGUUGGUGGGGUAAAGGCCUACCAAGGCAAUGAUGCGUAGCCGAGUUGAGAGACUGAUCGGCCACAUUGGGACUGAGACACGGCCCAAACUCCUACGGGAGGCAGCCCUACGGAAUCUUCCACAAUGGACGCAAGUCUGAUGGAGCAACGCCGCGUGAGUGAAGAAGGUUUUCGGAUCGUAAAGCUCUGUUGUUGGUGAAGAAGGAUAGAGGCAGUAACUGGUCUUUAUUUGACGGUAAUCAACCAGAAAGUCACGGCUAACUACGUGCCAGCAGCCGCGGUAAUACGUACGUGGCAAGCGUUGUCCGGAUUUAUUGGGCGUAAAGCGAGCGCAGGCGGAAUGAUAAGUCUGAUGUGAAAGCCCACGGCUCAACCGUGGAACUGCAUCGGAAACUGUCAUUCUUGAGUGCAGAAGACGAGAGUGGAACUCCAUGUGUAGCGGUGGAAUGCGUAGAUAUAUGGAACAACACCAGUGGCGAAAGCGGCUCUCUGGUCUGCAACUGACGCUGAGGCUCGAAAGCAUGAGUAGCGAACAUGAUUAGAUACCCUG
This 751-nucleotide ribosomal RNA is filed under the name Lactobacillus delbrueckii. Its description in RNAcentral is "bacterial SSU rRNA". It matches the Rfam family "Bacterial small subunit ribosomal RNA", at positions 64 to 789 of the family's 1533-position model. Lineage: Bacteria; Bacillati; Bacillota; Bacilli; Lactobacillales; Lactobacillaceae. The record is from RNAcentral.